This 114-nucleotide ribosomal RNA is filed under the name Malakichthys elegans. Its description in RNAcentral is "partial 16S ribosomal RNA". The record is from RNAcentral. Lineage: Eukaryota; Metazoa; Chordata; Actinopteri; Acropomatiformes; Malakichthyidae.
CGCCCAUCAGCUAGCCCCUCCAACCAAAAAUAACAAACCACUAUUAAUAACCCCAAAUACACUAGCUUACAUUAAACAAACCAUUUUUCCCCCUUAGUAUGGGCGACAGAAAAG